Molecule: transfer RNA, 72 nt
Filed under: Oceanobacillus profundus
Lineage: Bacteria; Bacillati; Bacillota; Bacilli; Caryophanales; Bacillaceae
Description: tRNA-Leu
Source: RNAcentral
CCGGGAACUUUAGCUUGGUAGAGCCCUUGGUUCAGGACCAAGGUAUUGCAGUUUGAACCUUGUUUUCCCGAU